AUGUAUAUGAGGCAAGUUAUUAGCAAUGUUUCACAUUUUCUUACUUGCAAUAUUGUGCUUGCCUAUUCAGGUGUUCCAAGACCCAAAUCAUCAGAAAAACAACACAUACAACACUUUUUUAUUUUGAACUUUGGUUACCCUUAUACAAGCCCCUGUUCAUUUUGUUUAUAUAGUGGUCAGAAUAGUAACUAUAUGUGCUUGCUCAAUACUGAUAAAUGGAAUAUUUUCGAAGCACGUAUGGUGUGCGUCUGUUCGCAAUUUGGCGCAACGAGAGAUUACUAA
RNAcentral lists this ribosomal RNA (282 nucleotides) under Triticum aestivum (bread wheat). RNAcentral describes it as "partial small subunit ribosomal RNA". The record is from RNAcentral. Lineage: Eukaryota; Viridiplantae; Streptophyta; Magnoliopsida; Poales; Poaceae.